This 73-nucleotide transfer RNA is filed under the name Methanobacteriota archaeon. RNAcentral's name for it is "Euryarchaeota archaeon (freshwater metagenome) tRNA-Pro". It matches the Rfam family "tRNA". From Rfam's summary of the family: Transfer RNA (tRNA) molecules are approximately 80 nucleotides in length. Their secondary structure includes four short double-helical elements and three loops (D, anti-codon, and T loops). RNAcentral also lists the same sequence under 1 other name. Lineage: Archaea; Methanobacteriati; Methanobacteriota. The record is from RNAcentral.
GGGCCCGUGGGGUAGUCUGGUAUCCUUGGAGCUUUGGGAGCUCUUGACCCCGGUUCAAAUCCGGGCGGGCCCA